UAACUUAAAAAACAAUCCUAUAUUUAAUCAUUCAGGUUAACACAGCCAUACAAACUGGUAUUUAAGAAAUCUCCCCAGUUAGCCUAUUUUUCAUUUUUCCAUGUAUUUCCAGGAGAGAUCACCACAAGUAAGUCAGAGUGCAUGCAUUAAAGUCAAAAUGAUUGGUGCCUUCAAGAGGAAGAUCCCUGAAUCAUGCAAGGAGCUUCAUUCAGAAAGAAGACCUUCAUCUCUACCUUCAGAAUGUUCUUCACUGCACUGGAAUGAAGAUGGUGAUGAUAACGAUGGUCAGGGCUCAAGCUCAGGCCCUUCCCUGCUGUGUGCCAUAAAUCAGUGCCCGAAGGGACAGGAAGCAGAGGAGGUGCUGCCAUCAGGUCAGGAAGUGGCUUGGAAUGGGGGCCAUUCCCACUGCAUAUCUAACACUAUGGAUCCGCUCCAAUGCCCAGGAAGCUGGGGUGAAGAGGACAG
RNAcentral lists this long non-coding RNA (465 nucleotides) under Homo sapiens (human). RNAcentral describes it as "non-protein coding lnc-ZNF32-4:1". The record is from RNAcentral. Lineage: Eukaryota; Metazoa; Chordata; Mammalia; Primates; Hominidae.